ACUUGGAUAGCUUAAAUUUAAAGCUUAAUAUUGAAGAUAUUAAAAUGGAUAUUUAUCCUUCAAGUA
Molecule: transfer RNA, 66 nt
Filed under: Nysius cymoides
Lineage: Eukaryota; Metazoa; Arthropoda; Insecta; Hemiptera; Lygaeidae
Description: tRNA-Phe
Source: RNAcentral